UCGGGAAUUUUGGGCAAUGGGCGAAAGCCUGACCCAGCAACGCCGCGUGAAGGAUGAAGUAUUUCGGUAUGUAAACUUCGUAAGAAUAGGAAGAAUAAAUGACGGUACUAUUUGUAAGGUCCGGCUAACUACGUGCCAGCAGCCGCGGUAAUACGUAGGGACCAAGCGUUGUUCGGAUUUACUGGGCGUAAAGGGCGCGUAGGCGGUGUGUCAAGUCAGUUGUGAAAUCUCCGAGCUUAACUCGGAACGGUCAACUGAUACUGUCACACUAGAGUACAGAAGGGGCAAUCGGAAUUCUUGGUGUAGCGGUGAAAUGCGUAGAUAUCAAGAGGAACACCUGAGGUGAAGACGGGUUGCUGGGCUGACACUGACGCUGAGGCGCGAAAGCCAGGGGAGCAAACGGGAUUAGAUACCCAAGUAGUCCCUGAGCGGGCUGGCAAGGCGCAU
Molecule: ribosomal RNA, 447 nt
Filed under: uncultured bacterium
Lineage: Bacteria
Description: bacterial SSU rRNA
Rfam family: Bacterial small subunit ribosomal RNA
Source: RNAcentral